GAUUUGACGAUGAAGAGGACUAGUAUAUGAUGAAAGUGGCACAGAGAGGCUUCUGGCUGGUGGGAGGAAGCUGCAUGGAAAUUAUAGAACCGACCUUGGAGUUCCGCAUGAAAAGUGUGGCGUAUGCCUGGCGUUAACGGGUAAUGAAGUGAAUCGUAAUACGAUUAAUUAGGGUGGUACCGCCGAAUUUUCGGUCCCUUGU
RNAcentral lists this non-coding RNA (202 nucleotides) under Allocoprococcus comes. Its description in RNAcentral is "Coprococcus comes T-box sequence". It matches the Rfam family "T-box leader". Rfam says of the family: Uncharged tRNA acts as the effector for transcription antitermination of genes in the T-box leader family. The record is from RNAcentral. Lineage: Bacteria; Bacillati; Bacillota; Clostridia; Lachnospirales; Lachnospiraceae.